This 438-nucleotide ribosomal RNA is filed under the name Triticum aestivum (bread wheat). Its description in RNAcentral is "partial small subunit ribosomal RNA". Lineage: Eukaryota; Viridiplantae; Streptophyta; Magnoliopsida; Poales; Poaceae. The record is from RNAcentral.
AUGCAGGACGGCCGACCUGCCCAUCACUUACCUCGGCAUCCCGCUCACGUUGCGCCGUCCCACCGCCGCCCAACUGCAGCCCCUCGUAGAUACAGUGGCAGCCAUGCUUCCAACUUGGAAAGCAUGGCUUAUGAACAAGGCUGGACGGCUCGCAUUGGUCAAGGCGGUGCUCGAGGCCAUCCCGGUUCACCAACUGCUCGCAUUCGCACCCCCCAAGAAGACCCUGAGGCAGCUGGAGAAGAUACAACGGGGCUUCCUAUGGGCUGGGCGUGCAACUGCCAACGGCGGGCACUGCCACGUCAACUGGCGCCAUGCUUGGCGUCCACUGGAAUAUGGCGGCUUGGGAAUACGGGACCUGGAGCGAGCUGGCCUGGCACUAAGGUUGCGAUGGCUAUGGUACACUUGCACAGACGACAACCGCGCAUGGCAAGGGCUUGA